RNAcentral lists this ribosomal RNA (475 nucleotides) under uncultured organism. RNAcentral's name for it is "bacterial SSU rRNA". It matches the Rfam family "Bacterial small subunit ribosomal RNA", at positions 28 to 507 of the family's 1533-position model. The record is from RNAcentral.
GACGAACGCUGGCGGCGUGCCUAAUACAUGCAAGUCGAACGAACAUGGACGCAAGUAAAUGUUAGUGGCGAACGGGUGAGUAACACGUAAGUGACCUGUCUGUCAGACGAGGAUAACUACUGGAAACGGUAGCUAAGACUGGAUAGGAUAGAAAUAUUUAAAGAUGCUUAUGGCAUCACUGACAGAGGGGCUUGCGGCGCAUUAGCUAGUUGGUGGGAUAAGAGCCUACCAAGGCAACGAUGCGUAGCCGACCUGAGAGGGUGACCGGCCACACUGGGACUGAGACACGGCCCAGACUCCUACGGGAGGCAGCAGUAGGGAAUCUUCGGCAAUGGACGCAAGUCUGACCGAGCGACGCCGCGUGAGCGAAGAAGAUCUUCGGAUUGUAAAGCUCUGUUAUUAGGGAAGAACGAACUUAACAGGAAAUGGUUAAGAAGUGACGGUACCUAAUGAGAAAGCCACGGCUAACUACGUG